RNAcentral lists this ribosomal RNA (482 nucleotides) under uncultured Flavobacteriaceae bacterium. Its description in RNAcentral is "bacterial SSU rRNA". It matches the Rfam family "Bacterial small subunit ribosomal RNA", at positions 28 to 505 of the family's 1533-position model. The record is from RNAcentral. Lineage: Bacteria; Pseudomonadati; Bacteroidota; Flavobacteriia; Flavobacteriales; Flavobacteriaceae.
GAUGAACGCUAGCGGCAGGCCUAACACAUGCAAGUCGAGGGGUAACAGGGAUUGCUUGCAAUCUGCUGACGACCGGCGCACGGGUGCGUAACGCGUAUACAAUCUACCUUACACUGGGGGAUAGCCUUUAGAAAUGAAGAUUAAUACCCCAUGGUAUGUCGACUUCGCAUGGAGAUGACAUUAAAGGUUACGGUGUAAGAUGAGUAUGCGUCCUAUUAGCUAGAUGGUGUGGUAACGGCACACCAUGGCGACGAUAGGUAGGGGCCCUGAGAGGGGGAUCCCCCACACUGGUACUGAGACACGGACCAGACUCCUACGGGAGGCAGCAGUGAGGAAUAUUGGACAAUGGAGGCAACUCUGAUCCAGCCAUGCCGCGUGUAGGAAGACUGCCCUAUGGGUUGUAAACUACUUUUAUACGGGAAGAAACAGUCCUACGUGUAGGAUCUUGACGGUACCGUAAGAAUAAGCACCGGCUAACUCCG